CGUCAUGAAGCCAAACUCUUUCUUGUCCAUCUCCAUCUCGUAGGAAGACCCUUCUCCCUACUCAACUCUCUAAUUGCUCGCUCUAUCCUAUAUCAAGGGGAGAACAUGCGGUAAAUAUAAAAUUCGUCUACACACGUAGCAACUGUGACAACAUUCACCAGCUUUAUCUCUCCAUUUGACUGUCUUUGGCUUCUGUUUGCUUAACAUGGACUACAACUCCAGCCCGCACACAAUUAUCUGCUAGAAAUGGUAAACACAUUGAGCACCUCACAAACAUAUCACAUCCAGUAACAAGCCACGAUAACUCACAUGAGAAAAGAGAAAACAAUAAAAUAAAACACUUGGUGCAUAACUUGCAUACAUGAGUACAUACAAGUACAACCAAAAUAAUCGGGCUCCGUAAGCAAGAUUACUAUGGCAAAAUGAUGUGCCAUGUGUCAGCAUCCUUCAAACAGUGGCUUCGUCAAAUGCAAGCCCUGUGAACUCCUCUUUAGUUGUUUGCUCAAAACAUUUAUGCCAACCAUAUUAGUUUUGGGCCUCUCACAUCAUCCAUCUGCUCAUCUAAAAAGAAUAAAGGAUAUUAGACAAUCAAUACAGCAUACGUAACAGUCAGGUAUAUUCAGGGAAAGGAACAAAUAUUGAGCCUGUAGAUGGUUUGUAGUAUAUUUAGUCAAGGAAAAAACAAUGAAUAACACUUGCAAUACAUUUUGUACCAAGCAAAGGAACAAAAUGUACAGUAAAACAUGCUUUUGAAUCAUGUGUAUAUAUAGAAGGGGCGAAUGCACGUGCACAUAUUAUGCAUACAAAAACAUCAGUACUGGCCCUCUUUUCACUUUCUUGCAUCAACCAGGUUUCCACACAUACACAAAAAAAAAGAUGCCGAUAACAGACAGCAAGGAAAUAAAUAUUCGAGGUGUGAAUUGAAAUUUUUGAUGUGGAGCUACCAAGCAAAUGAGGGGCGUCGAUGAAAAACGGCCUGCUGUAGAUGUCAUCCAAAAUUAUUUGAACAGUGGAAGUAAUAAAGAAAACUACCAAAAACAAUUUGAAUACAUGUAUAAUAUUUUCUGCAAAAAAUAUCAUGAACGCUAAUGCAAGCAUCUUAGUUGUUUUUCUUAAAGUCCUCUACACAAACUUCAGAACCAUAAUAGCUGGGAAGCAAUUUUAGAUGAUUGACCCUAGUAAUCUAGAUAGAUUGAAUUUCUACAGCCACCGAAUUGUACUCGAGUGAUUUAUACCUUGAACUACACACUGAGAACUUCUUUGUAGACUAUGUUCUUUGUACAAUUUGCAUUGGAGUUGGUUUGGCCUUCCUUUUGCUUAUCUGGGACAGUAAGAAUCUUCAUAUUACUUCUUGAUGUAGCUCUAGAAAGAGCAACAUAGAGUUGCCCGUGUGAAAAUACCGGUUCAGGAAGGUAUACACCAACAUUUUGUAUAGUUUGUCCCUGUGCCUUGUUAAUGGUCAGAGCAAAGCUAAGCCUGACUGGAAACUGCUUCCUCUUGAACCUAAAUGGAAACAUCUCAUCAUCUGAUGGGCAAAGAGGAAUUCGAGGAAGGAACACCCUCUUACUAGCAUGAUGGCCCAGCACAAUCUCAGCAUCAAUUGCAUUCCUCAUGAACCCUCGGACAAUCAGCCUCGUCCCGUUGCACAACCCACUCACUGGGUCAAUGUUCCGUAACAAUAUAAUCUCUACUCCUAUAAAAUACCCAGUUGGUGGUAAUGAUGUGCCUGCCAUACCUGAUUUUCGAUCGUCAGAUGUGCAUCCAACGCAUGAGAGCUAACUAUGGUUUAUGUUUGUAAAAAAAACCUUAUUCUCUUCGUUCAGCUCCAGCCAUCCCCUCCUUAUCCAAAUCCUAUGAGCGAAGGCAUUGGAUCCUUCACGAAAACGAAAGAAAACAGUGGAACCAAAGAGGGCAGCGCCGCUGCCGCUCCACACACCGCCGGCGCCGCCGAUGCAGUCCGCUCCUAACACCCUCUUCCGCCUCCUCACUGCAGCAACAUCCCCAUCGCUCACUAUCCCCGAUUUCUCCCCCCGCCUGCCCCGUCUCCUCCGACGCCGACGUCGGCAAACACGCAGCCGCCGCCGCUCAUCCCCGGAGUCCGCGACGCCUCCCUUCCCUGGUACUCUGAGGUAGCAGCCCCUGCGCCCACCGAUUCCCCCUCCUCCCGGUUGUCUCCCCUACCCCAUCUACUCUGGCGCCGAUGUCGGCAAGUACGUCGCCGGCGCCGUCCGCGUCUGAUUCCGCGACCCCUCUCUUACCUUAUUCUCUGACGCAGCAGCCCAGCCGCCCACCAUCUCCCCAUCCUUCCCUGCAUCUCCUCCUUCCCCCACCCCAUCUCCUACGACGCCGACGUUGGCAAGUACGCCGCCGGCACGUUCCGUCCCCCGAGCUCGCGACGCCACUCCUGCGUCAUCCUCUGAUGCAGAAACCCGGCCGCCCACCACCUCCUCCUCCUGGCCGGCUCUUCAGCGACGCUGGCGCCAGCUUCCCUGCGACGCGCUCCAGGCCAUUCCCUUCGAGUACUUGCUGGUCCACACCCGUUUCCUCCAGUAAACUCUGUUUCAGAGACGGCUGGUCUGGUGUGAUGGUCGCCUCUGCUGUUGCCUCUCCUUCCUACCCGUCCCGCCUCCAAAUUUCAAAUUUCCUGUCACUCAAAGUUCAAAUCCGCGCGCCCAGUUCAAACUGUCCAGAAACCACUCCUGCAGCCCAAUAUAAAUAAGUGGGCAGGCAUAUGGGACUCUGGCUGCUCAAACUACACCCCCAAGAAGUCACACAUUGGUCACGCCAACCUUCAGAUCGAACGGAGUGUGAGGAAGUGUGAUUCACUGCUCUUCGUCAUCUAAUCUUCUUCGUCAAGGGCAAGGUAUGGGUUGUGAAUGAAUAUUAAAAUCUUCUCUAUGAUCUCAUCAACCAUUGCUUCAUCUUUGUUAUUAGACAACCCCGUCUGAAUACUGUAUCAGUAGCAGUUGGAGAAGUACUGAAUGAUACACAUCUUACAUAGCUGACUCCCAACAUCCUGGAUUAUUUAUAUCUAAUCUGACUGCAAUUUUUAUGCAUUUCAUAGCUUAUUUCCCGUCUGAAUACUGUAUCAGUAGCAGUUGGAAAAGUACUGAAUGAUACAAACUUUACAUAGCUGACUCCCAACAUCCUGGAUUAUUUAUAUCUAAUCUGAUUGCAUUUUUUAUGCAUUUCAUAGUUUAUAUUUCAUCUAACCAGUCUGCAUUUUGAAUGCAUUAUGUUGUAGCCAAGUCCAACAGAACUUGCUCCAGUGGCACGCCAAGUCCUCAUACAAGUAUAUUUAUGCGCGAGCCAAUAGAUAUGACAAGUUCAAGUCAGUCGUCUUUGGAUGAUGAAGUGACAAACGAAUCAUCUACGAUUUUUCCUACUAAUGGCAUGCUCAUAUCAACUGAGGGCUUGGAGCGAGGAGAAAGCUCAAAAGGUAAAUCUAUAAGGCGAAAUUCUAUGCAUAAGUAAUUUUAUUUAACUACUUAAUUAAUUUCUCAUAAAAAUGCUAUAGGACGAAAGCGUGUACGUGAAGCAAUAAGAUAUGCUAGCCGUACACCAGAACAAAUCCAAGCAAGGCGAGAACGUGUUAGAGCACGUCGGCAAAUUUUAACACCUGCUGAGAGGGAAAAGAUUAAUGCACAAAGAAGAGAGAAAAGACAACGAAUGGCACUUGAUGAGAGGAAUGCAAGCCAACGAGCACGUAGGCAAAGUUUGACAAUAGAUGAGAGGCAAGAAAUAAAUGCACGCCGGCGAGCACGUAGGCAAAGCCUACCACCUGAAGAGCGGCAAGCACUCCUAGCUCAAUGUAAUGCAAGCUACGCAUCUAAACGAGAUGCCCUCUGCAGGGAUUCUGUUGCACUACAGUGCCCUGCAGGUUCAUUGAUGGGACAUCCAUCAUCAAGUUCUUAUGUCUUUAGCCACCCAGGUAAGCUCGCACAAACUUCUGCUACAAUUCAAGGUAAUUCUCAAACACAUCUGUAUAUAUGUAACAACAUCGAUCUUCAAAUUACAUUUAGGAGAUGAUGAUACUACCCAGCACAUGGAACUCACAUCGGUGCAAUGUCCAACAUCUACAUCAGUGGACAAUCCAUCAUCACCCCAUGAUGGUUUCGUAUAUUCAGAUUCCCCAAUAGAAAGCUUUGUCGCCGAUGAUUAUGAUUCUCACAUGUCCGAAGAACAAGAUGAUGAGUACUUUGCAUUUGCUGGGAGAGGUAUUGCCAAUGCCAUGGAUACCUUAUUUCUCUACAUACAAAAAAAGCAAGACCUAUAUAACGCCAUUCAUCUCAUUAUAUGUAGGUGACGAUGAAGACUUUGUAGAUGCCUUUACAAUAGACACCAUUGUCCCUGACCUAUAUGAUCGUGUCUACCACAAUAUACCAGUAAGUACUCACAUGUUGACACCAAAACCUGAUUGCAAUCACUGUGGUGCUAAGAGAUUCCAGUAUGAAACAAGUGGAUUUUGUUGUCGGUCCGGAAAGAUUAACCUAGCACACUCAGAACCUCCCUUGGAACUUCAAAUGUUAUACAAAAGUUCAGAUCCCAAUGCCGUGCAUUUUAGGGAGAACAUUCGGUACUUUAAUGGACACUUCUCAUUCACCACCCUUGGAGUCAGUCUUGACAAUAGAUACACAAACAUGAGUUCAGGAGUGUAUACGUUCCGAGCUCACGGUCAGAUUUACCACAACGUCUUCUCAUUUGGUCCAACUCAAGAUGGACCUAAGCAUUUGGAGCUCUACUUCUAUGAUGAUGAUCCAAGUUUACAACAUAGGUUUCGGUGCUCCCCAAACCUAGACCGAGAUGUCAUUCGUAAGCUUGUCGACAUCCUCAAGGAUAAUCCUUAUUCUGAGACAUUCAUGAAUCUAGGUGGAGUCGAUGACCUUGAGGAAUACCGUAUUGAACUAAACACCGACAUGAGGUUGGACCAACGGAGAUAUAACUUGCCUAUAUCAUCGGAGGUUGCGGCUAUUUGGGUUGAGGGUAAUGAACUAUGUAAGCACUUUGAUCGUAGCAUAGUACUGUUUGGUAACGACAACAAGAGAUAUAGCAUCCAGCCAUAUUAUGGAUGCUAUGAUCCGUUGUCUUACCCUUUAUUCUUUCCAAGAGGGGAGAUUGGUUGGCAUCCCGAAAUCCCAAAGAAUGGCGUCAACUUGAAUGAGAUACUUCAAUCUCGUCGCAGUGGUCGACAUAGUCUAGGUAAUUCAUAUAACGGAAAUAGCAUGUGUUCAUUUUGUUUAUCCUCAUUGUACUUACUUUUCUAAAUAUUUCCUCUUGUUACCUCUCAUUUCCAUAGGUACAUAUACAAAUAGUCGAUUAUGCGUAUCUGUUAGAGACUACUAUUGCUACAAGUUUCAAAUACGUCGUGGUGUAUUUAACACUAUGCUAUACGGUAAACAACUGUGCCAACAGUAUGUGGUUGAUAUGUACAUCAAGGUUGAAAGCUCAAGAUUGGACUAUAUCAAAAAUCACCAGAAACAAAUACGUGCUGAUCUAUACCAAGGUGUUGUUGAUAGCCUUCAAGCUGGGGAAAACCGUGCGGAUGCAGUGGGCAAAUGGACUAUACUUCCUACAUCAUUUAUUGGGGGAAAAAGAGAUAGGAGACGAAGGUAUCUUGAUGCCAUGGCCUUGGUGCAAAAGUAUGGGAAACCAGAUAUAUUUUUAACCAUGACUUGCAAUCCGAAUUGGGGUGAGAUAAUUAGUGAGCUGGAGCCUGGACAAACCCCACAGGAUCGCCCUGAUCUUAUCGUACGAGUAUUUCGAGCAAAGUUGGAAGACCUCAAGAUACAACUUUUUAAGAAGCACAUGCUCGGUAAGGUAGCAGCAUAUGUGUAUGUCGUUGAGUUUCAGAAAAGAGGUCUACCACAUGCUCAUUUCCUCCUAAUCAUGGAGGGGAGGUACAAGCUAACUUGCCCAGAGCAAUAUGAUUGUCUAAUAUCUGCUGAAUUGCCAGACAAAUCCAAGUACCCAGAGUUGUACAAAAUGGUCGUCAAGCACAUGAUGCAUGGCCCGUGUGGAGUCCUCAACCCCAAGAACGUGUGCAUGCAAAAUGGUAGCUGCAAGAACUACUAUCCACGACCAUUUAAUGCGUCAACCCUUCAGGGAAAGGACUCAUAUCCCAUAUACCGGAGGAGAGAUGAUGGACGUCAUGCGAAGGUACGGGGUGAAGAUUUAGACAAUAGGUGGGUUGUUCCAUACAAUCCUUACCUACUAAGAAGGUAUAACUGCCACAUCAAUGUUGAGGUUUGCUCAAGCAUAAAAGCUGUGAAGUACCUCUUUAAAUACAUAUAUAAGGGGCAUGAUCAAGCAUCUGUUUCUAUCGACGCGGUGGAUAGUGACGGAAACAUUGAUGAAAUAAAGCAAUACAGAGAUUCCAGAUGGAUUACACCACCAGAAGCAUUAUGGAGGAUCUAUGGUUUUGACCUUAGUAAUUUAUUUCCUUCUGUUAGGCAGCUACAACUCCACCUCCCUAAUAUGCACAUGGUGUCAUUCCCGGCGGGCGCAAAUCUGAAUGAUGUCCUCUCCCAGGAAGGAGCUUCCAAGACAAUGCUAACCGAGUAUUUUGAAGCAAACAAGAAGUAUGAGUUGGCCCGGGGAAUUUUAUAUAAGGAUUUUCCGGCAUCUUUUGUUUGGAUCUCGGGUGGAAAGUAUUGGAAAAGGAGGGAUGAAUGCACACAGAUCGGGAGAAUUGUGUCUGCUCAUCCAGCCGAAGGGGAGACGUAUUAUCUUAGAGUGCUUCUAAACCAUGUCACAGGUGCUACAUCUUUCCAAGACCUAAGGACAGUGGAUGGUAUUGUUUUCCCGACAUUUCGUGAAGCUGCUGAAAGGAGGGGUCUUAUCGAGUCAGAUAAUACUAUUGACGAGUGUCUUAAUGAAGCUGAGGUUUUUCAGAUGCCAUCUUCCCUUCGAACGCUAUUUGCCACUAUAUUGGUCUUUUGUGAGCCCAGCAAUGUGCGUGGUCUAUGGGAUAGGCACUUGGAAGCUAUGAUAGAAGACUAUCGACUAAACCACAUGUCCCCUCAUGUAGUUGAGCAGAUGGCUUUGUUAGAUAUAAAAAGUAUGCUUGAAUCGAUGGGGAAGGACAUAUCAUCAUUACCUCUUCCAGAAAUUGUUGAGUCAUAUGAUGGCUCAAAUAACGAGGCUAGGGAGAUCACAGAGGAGUCGACCAUAGGGGUGAACCCAGAACACCUUGGCUUUUCAUCUUUCCUAAACCCAGAAGAGAGAUAUGCAUAUGAUGAGAUACUUGCAACAAUCAAUAGUGGCCAAGGAGGUGUGUUCUUUGUUGAUGGACCAGGAGGCACUGGAAAGACUUAUCUAUACAAACACUACUUGCAAAAGUACGUGGUGAGGGUAAGAUAGCUAUUGCAACAGCAAAAUCAGGCGUUGCUGCAUCCAUCUUGCCCGGCGGGAGGACUGCACACUCAAGGUUUAAAAUACCAUUGAACAUUGAAGAUGGUGGAGUUUGCAGUUUCACCAAGCAAAGUGGGACAGCUAAGCUUCUUAUGAGCGCCUCCCUCAUAAUUUGGGAUGAGGCCUCCAUGACAAGGAGACAGGCAGUCGAGGCCCUUGAUAAUAGCAUGAGGGACAUCAUGGCUCAACCUGACCUGCCAUUUGGUGGAAAGACUGUCGUGUUUGGGGGACAUUUCAGACAAGUGUUUCCUCUUGUUCGCAAGGGAACAAGGUCACAAAUAAUUGACGCGACGCUAUGCAAGUCUUACCUUUGGGAGAGUAUGAGACAUAUAAGACUUGUCCGUAAUAUGAGGGCUCAAAGUGAUCCAUGGUUUGUUGAUUAUCUUCUGCCUGUUGGGAGUGGCACCGAAGAUACUAUGGAUGAUGGUUACAUACGACUCCCAGAUGAGAUUUGUGUACCAUAUACCGGCGUUGCCUCUGAUAUUGACAAGCUUAUUGAAAGUGUUUUCCCGAUGCCGCUAGAUGAAAACCUCUUGGAUCCAAACUACAUAGCGUCCCGAGCAAUUCUAUCAACUCGGAAUGAGUACAUUGACAAAAUCAAUAUGAGGAUGAUUGAGAGAUUUCCUGGGGAGGAGAUGAUAUACUACAGUUUUGAUCGCGCAAAGGAUGAUCCACACAACUACUACCCUGCAGAAUUCUUGAAUUCAUUGACACCUAAUGGUCUACCUCCCCAUAUCCUCAAGUUGAAGAUUAAUUAUCCUAUUAUAUUGUUACGGAACAUUGACCCAGCGAGUGGGUUGUGCAAUGGGACGAGGCUGAUUGUCCGAGGGUUCAUGAGGAAUGCAAUUGAUGCUGAGAUUGUGCUGGGCCAGCAUGCUGGUAAGAGGGUGUUCCUUCCUCGAAUUCCUCUUUGCCCAUCAGAUGAUGAGAUGUUUCCAUUUAGGUUCAAGAGGAAGCAGUUUCCAGUCAGGCUUAGCUUUGCUAUGACCAUUAACAAAGCACAUGGACAAACUAUACAAAAUGUUGGUGUAUACCUCCCUGAACCGGUAUCUUCACACGAGCAACUCUAUGUUGCUCUUUCUAGAGCUACAUCAAGAAGUAAUAUGAAGAUUCUUACUGUCCCAGAUAAGCAAAAGGAAGGCCAAACCAACUCCAAUGCAAAUUGUACAAAGAACAUAGAGUUGGAAGUUCUCAGAUUGACCCUAGUAAUCUAGAUAGAUUGAAUUUCUACAGCCACCGAAUUGUACUCGAGUGAUUUAUACCUUGAACUACACGCUGAGAACUUCUUUGUAGACUAUGUUCUUUGUACAAUUUGCAUUGGAGUUGGUUUGGCCUUCCUUUUGCUUAUCUGGGACAGUAAGAAUCUUCAUAUUACUUCUUGAUGUAGCUCUAGAAAGAGCAACAUAGAGUUGCCCGUGUGAAAAUACCGGUUCAGGGAGGUAUACACCAACAUUUUGUAUAGUUUGUCCAUGUGCCUUGUUAAUGGUCAUAGCAAAGCUAAGCCUGACUGGAAACUGCUUCCUCUUGAACCUAAAUGGAAAAUCUCAUCAUCUGAUGGGCAAAGAGGAAUUCGAGGAAGGAACACCCUCUUACCAGCAUGCUGGCCCAGCACAAUCUCAGCAUCAAUUCCAUUCCUCAUGAACCCUCGGACAAUCAGCCUCGUCCCGUUGCACAACCCACUCGCUGGGUCAAUGUUCCGUAACAAUAUAAUAGGAAAAUUAAUCUUCAACUUGAGGAUAUGGGGAGGUAGACCAUUAGGUGUCAAUGAAUUCAAGAAUUCUGCAAGGUAGUAGUUGUGUGGAUCAUCCUCCGCGCGAUCAAAACUGUAGUAUAUCAUCUCCUCCCCAGGAAAUCUCUCAAUCAUCCUCAUAUUGAUUUUGUCAAUGUACUCAUUCCGAGUUGAUAGAAUUGCUCGGGACGCUAUGUAGUUUGGAUCCAAGAGGUUUUCAUCUAGCGGCAUCGGGAAAACACUUUCAAUAAGCUUGUCAAUAUCAGAGGCAACGCCGGUAUAUGGUACACAAAUCUCAUCUGGGAGUCGUAUGUAACCAUCAUCCAUAGUAUCUUUGGUGCCAUUCCCGACAGGCAGAAGAUAAUCAGCAAACCAUGGAUCACUUUGAGCCCUCAUAUUACGGACAAGUCUUAUAUGUCUCAUACUCUCCCAAAGGUAAGACUUGCGUAGCGUCGCGUCAAUUAUUUGUGACCUUGUUCCCUUGCGAACAAGAGGAAGCACUUGUCUGAAAUGUCCCCCAAACACGACAGUCUUUCCACCAAAUGGCAGGUCAGGUUGAGCCAUGAUGUCCCUCAUGCUAUUAUCAAGGGCCUCGACUGCCUGUCUCCUUGUCAUGGAGGCCUCAUCCUAAAUUAUGAGGGAGGCGCUCAUAAGAAGCUUAGUUGUCCCACUUUGCUUGGUGAAACUGCAAACUCCACCAUCUUCAAUGUUCAAUGGUAUUUUAAACCUUGAGUGUGCAGUCCUCCCGCCGGGCAAGAUGGAUGCAACAACGCCUGAUUUUGCUGUUGCAAUAGCUAUUUUACCCUCACCACAUACUUUUGCAAGUAGUGCUUUGUAUAGAUAAGUCUUUCCAGUGCCUCCUGGUCCAUCAACAAAGAACACACCUCCUUGGCCACUAUUGAUUGUUGCAAGUAUCUCAUCAUAUGCAUAUCUCUCUUCUGGGUUUAGGAAAGAUGAAAAGCCAAGGUAUUCUGGGUUCACCCCUAUGGUCGACUCCUCUGUGAUCUCCCUAGCCUUGUUAUUUGAGCCAUCAUAUGACUCAACAAUUUCUGGAAGAGGUAAUGAUGAUAUGUCCUUCCCCAUCGAUUCAAGAAUACUUUUUAUAUCUAACAAAGCCAUCUGCUCAACUGCAUGAGGGGACAUGUGGUUUAGUCGAUAGUCUUCUGUCAUAGCUUCCAAGUGCCUGUCCCAUAGACCAUGCACAUUGCUGGGCUCACAAAAGACCAAUAUAGUGGCAAAUAGCCUUCAAAGGGAAGAUGGCAUCUGAAAAACCUCAAAUUCAUUAAGACACUCGUCAAUAGUAUUAUCUGACUCGAUAAGACCCCUCCUUUCAGCAGCUUCACGAAAUGUCGGGAAAACAAUACCAUCCACUGUCCUUAGGUCUUGGAAAGAUGUAGCACCUGUGACAUGGUUUAGAAGCACUCUAAGAUAAUACCUCUCCCCUUCGGCUGGAUGAGCAGACACAAUUCUCCCGAUCUGUGUGCAUUCAUCCCUCCUUUUCCAAUACUUUCCACCCGAGAUCCAAACAAAAGAUGCCGGAAAAUCCUUAUAUAAAAUUCCCCGGGCCAACUCAUACUUCUUGUUUGCUUCAAAAUACUCGGUUAGCAUUGUCUUGGAAGCUCCUUCCUGGGAGAGGACAUCAUUCAGAUUUGCGCCCGCCGGGAAUGACACCAUGUGCAUAUUAGGGAGGUGGAGUUAUAGCUGCCUAACAGAAGGAAAUAAAUUACUAAGGUCAAAACCAUAGAUCCUCCAUAAUGCUUCUGGUGGUGUAAUCCAUCUGGAAUCUCUGUAUUGCUUUAUUUCAUCAAUGUUUCGUCACUAUCCACCGCGUCGAUAGAAACAGAUGCUCGAUCAUGCCCCUUAUAUAUGUAUUUAAAGAGGUACUUCACAGCUUUUAUGCUUGAGCAAACCUCGACGUUGAUGUGGCAGUUAUACCUUCUUAGUAGGUAAGGAUUGUAUGGAACAACCCACCUAUUGUCUAAAUCUUCACCCCGUACCUUCGCAUGACGUCCAUCAUCUCUCCUCCGGUAUAUGGGAUAUGAGUCCUUUCCCUGAAGGGUUGACGCAUUAAAUGGUCGUGGAUAGUAGUUCUUGCAGCUACCAUUUUGCAUGCACACGUUCUUGGGGUUGAGGACUCCACACGGGCCAUGCAUCAUGUGCUUGACAACCAUUUUGUACAACUCUGGGUACUUGGAUUUGUCUGGCAAUUCAGCAGAUAUUAGAUAGUCAUAUUGCUCUGGGCAAGUUAGCUUGUACCUCCCCUCCAUGAUUAGGAGGAAAUGAGCAUGUGGUAGACCUCUUUUUUGAAACUCAACGACAUACACAUAUGCUGCUACCUUACCGAGCAUGUGCUUCUUAAAAAGUUGUAUCUUGAGGUCUUCCAACUUUGCUCGAAAUACUCAUACGAUAAGAUCAGGGCGAUCCUGUGGGGUUUGUCCAGGCUCCAGCUCACUAAUUAUCUCACCCCAAUUCGGAUUGCAAGUCAUGGUUAAAAAUAUAUCUGGUUUCCCAUACUUUUGCACCAAGGCCAUGGCAUUAAGAUACCUUCGUCUCCUAUCUCUUUUUCCCCCAAUAAAUGAUGUAGGAAGUAUAGUCCAUUUGCCCACUGCAUCCGCACGGUUUUCCCCAGCUUGAAGGCUAUCAACAACACCUUGGUAUAGAUCAGCACGUAUUUGUUUCUGGUGAUUUCUGAUAUAGUCCAAUCUUGAGCUUUCAACCUUGAUGUACAUAUCAACCACAUACUGUUGGCACAGUUGUUUACCGUAUAGCAUGGUGUUAAAUACACCACGACGUAUUUGAAACUUGUAGCAAUAGUAGUCUCUAACAGAUACGCAUAAUCGACUAUUUGUAUAUGUACCUAUGGAAAUGAGAGGUAACAAGAGGAAAUAUUUAGAAAAGUAAGUACAAUGAGGAUAAACAAAAUGAACACAUGCUAUUUCCGUUAUAUGAAUUACCUAGACUAUGUCGACCACUGCGACGAGAUUGAAGUAUCUCAUUCAAGUUGACGCCAUUCUUUGGGAUUUCGGGAUGCCAACCAAUCUCCCCUCUUGGAAAGAAUAAAGGGUAAGACAACGGAUCAUAGCAUCCAUAAUAUGGCUGGAUGCUAUAUCUCUUGUUGCCGUUACCAAACAGUACUAUGCUACGAUCAAAGUGCUUACAUAGUUCAUUACCCUCAACCCAAAUAGCCGCAACCUCCGAUGAUAUAGGCAAGUUAUAUCUCCGUUGGUCCAACCUCAUGUCGGUGUUUAGUUCAAUACGGUAUUCCUCAAGGUCAUCGACUCCACCUAGAUUCCUGAAUGUCUCAGAAUAAGGAUUAUCCUUGAGGAUGUCGACAAGCUUACGAAUGACAUCUCGGUCUAGGUUUGGGGAGCACCGAAACCUAUGUUGUAAACUUGGAUCAUCAUCAUAGAAGUAGAGCUCCAAAUGCUUAGGUCCAUCUUGAGUUGGACCAAAUGAGAAGACGUUGUGGUAAAUCUGACCGUGAGCUCGGAAUGUAUACACUCCUGAACUCAUGUUUGUGUAUCUAUUGUCAAGACUGACUCCAAGGGUGGUGAAUGAGAAGUGUCCAUUAAAGUACCGAAUGUUCUCCCUAAAAUGCACGGCAUUGGGAUCUGAACUUUUGUAUAACAUUUGAAGUUCCAAGGGAGGUUCUGAGUGUGCUAGGUUAAUCUUUCCGGACCGACAACAAAAUCCACUUGUUUCAUACUGGAAUCUCUUAGCACCACAGUGAUUGCAAUCAGGUUUUGGUGUCAACAUGUGAGUACUUACUGGUAUAUUGUGGUAGACACGAUCAUAUAGGUCAGGGACAAUGGUGUCUAUUGUAAAGG
This 12966-nucleotide long non-coding RNA is filed under the name Triticum aestivum (bread wheat). RNAcentral describes it as "long non-coding RNA (TAES_LNC000451)". The record is from RNAcentral. Lineage: Eukaryota; Viridiplantae; Streptophyta; Magnoliopsida; Poales; Poaceae.